This 253-nucleotide unclassified non-coding RNA is filed under the name uncultured Alphaproteobacteria bacterium. Its description in RNAcentral is "contains 16S-23S intergenic spacer region". It matches the Rfam family "Bacterial small subunit ribosomal RNA", at positions 524 to 776 of the family's 1533-position model. The record is from RNAcentral. Lineage: Bacteria; Pseudomonadati; Pseudomonadota; Alphaproteobacteria.
UACGGAUGGGGCAAGCGUUGUUCGGAAUCACUGGGCUUAAAGCGUGCGUAGGCGGAUUUGCAAGUCAGAAGUGAAAUCCCAGGGCUCAACCUUGGAAUUGCUUUUGAAACUGCAAGUCUAGAAUCCGGGAGAGGUCAGGAGAAUUCCUAGUGUAGAGGUGAAAUUCGCAGAUAUUAGGAGGAAUACCAGUGGCGUAGGCGCCUGACUGGACCGGUAUCGACGCUGAGGUACGAAAGCGUGGGGAGCGAACAGG